AGUGAGCGCUGGCGGUAGACCUAACACAUGCAAGUCGAACGGCAGCACAGUAAGAGCUUGCUCUUACGGGUGGCGAGUGGCGGACGGGUGAGGAAUACAUCGGAAUCUACUUUUUCGUGGGGGAUAACGUAGGGAAACUUACGCUAAUACCGCAUACGACCUACGGGUGAAAGCAGGGGAUCUUCGGACCUUGCGCGAUUGAAUGAGCCGAUGUCGGAUUAGCUAGUUGGCGGGGUAAAGGCCCACCAAGGCGACGAUCCGUAGCUGGUCUGAGAGGAUGAUCAGCCACACUGGAACUGAGACACGGUCCAGACUCCUACGGGAGGCAGCAGUGGGGAAUAUUGGACAAUGGGCGCAAGCCUGAUCCAGCCAUACCGCGUGGGUGAAGAAGGCCUUCGGGUUGUAAAGCCCUUUUGUUGGGAAAGAAAAGCAGCAGGUUAAUACCCCGCUGUUCUGACGGUACCCAAAGAAUAAGCACCGGCUAACUUCGUG
This 492-nucleotide ribosomal RNA is filed under the name uncultured bacterium. RNAcentral describes it as "partial 16S ribosomal RNA". It matches the Rfam family "Bacterial small subunit ribosomal RNA", at positions 29 to 507 of the family's 1533-position model. The record is from RNAcentral.